Non-coding RNA from Cucumis melo (muskmelon), 90 nucleotides. Lineage: Eukaryota; Viridiplantae; Streptophyta; Magnoliopsida; Cucurbitales; Cucurbitaceae. The record is from Rfam.
UUGCGAUGAUGAAUUUGGUGCUCAAGUGAUCGUGGGUCGAUCACGAUCGUCUGAUUCCCUCGGACGAAAAAUCAACGCACAUCUGAGCUU